GAGCCUGAACUAGAUCAGAAUGUGAGAGUAACACAGACACCCCUCCAGCAGGGGCUCUUUUUUGCCAAUAUGUCUCUUCAAGUUACUGCUGCUGCUCUAAAUGUUAAGUUUGCAAAGGGGCCAUAGGUUUGUGGUGGCAGAUCAAGCAAACAGUGGUUGCAGCAGUUGGACCAAGUCCAGGAAGAUAGGAAGCAACUGGAAAGGAAAGGAGAAGAAUUCCUGGAUGAAAGGAGCUUGAGUGUUUGCGGGGGAGAGAGGAUCUUGGAAGGAUGUCACGAGGACACAAGAACAAUUGUACUGGGUCAAAGAUACACCCAGUCCUGUAUCCUGUCUCUGACAGUGGCCAACACUAUCUCAGAAGAAAAGCAGCAAGAGCAGUUCCAGGAAAGCUGAUCUCUCCUGAAGUGUACCAGAAUUCCUGGAUGUCGCUGAGUGCAGAAGCCAGCAGAUGUCAAGAAGAAAGAAUAGCUUCAAGCCUUUAUGAAAAGGUCUGGACGCUAGCAGUGAUGGGAGCCAGACAAAAAAAAAAAAUAAAAAAAAAA
Molecule: long non-coding RNA, 542 nt
Organism: Anas platyrhynchos (mallard)
Lineage: Eukaryota; Metazoa; Chordata; Aves; Anseriformes; Anatidae
Source: RefSeq, a predicted model, not a curated record